Long non-coding RNA from Hypomesus transpacificus, 2029 nucleotides. RefSeq lists it as uncharacterized. The record is from RefSeq and is a predicted model, not a curated record. Lineage: Eukaryota; Metazoa; Chordata; Actinopteri; Osmeriformes; Osmeridae. The transcript is spliced from 8 exons.
GUGACGUUUGUCAUGACUUUUCUCUUUGUGCUUCUCAAUUCCGCUUUUAUAAAGGGGAAGUCAUGACCACAGGCCAAUAUGUUUUGAAAGUGAAAUAUUACACGAGGAAUUUGGAAAAAGUUAAAUGCGUCUGUCAUAGUUGGGGCUGACAGGGUCACUUCACUUUUCAGUUUCUACAAUGAAGACGAUUUUUUACUUCUGGAUUGUUGUGCUUCAGUAUUCCCUUGCUCAAAGACCCUGCCCUCAAGGAUAUAUAAGACACAUCAAAGACGGAUGCCGUGAUAUUGAUGAGUGCAAUGUGUAUCCCACCAUCUGUGGAGAGCAUUCAAUGUGUAAUAAUACAAUCGGUGCCUUCUCAUGCGAGUGUGAAGCUGGGUUCCAUUCAGUAGAUUUCAGUGGUACAAAAUGUGUGGGUGAGUAUGUGUAUUAUUCAGAGAUUGCAAAAGUACACAUCCGUCACUCAAGUAGAAGUACCGGUAGUUUUGUCAACAACAACAAAAAAUAUUGUUUUUCAACCUUUGGAAACUUGUUUUAAAAAUUAUUUUUUCAACCUUUUUUUUUUUCUAAACUUGUUUCCCUUGUUGCCCCUUGGUAGCUUCGUGAACUAGCUUCCGAUUGUUGUGCGUGAUAGCCAGGAAAUGACAAAAGGCCCCCAAUGACAAUAAAUAAUAUUGAUCAUGCUAAAGUCAUAUGCCUGGCUUUAUAAUGCAAGAUGUAAAAAGUUCAGAUAUUUUUGGAAGGUUGUCAGAAAAAUAAAUAGUCAAGUACUGAUACCAAAAAAUUCUCAUUUAGUAGGUACAGACCUUCGUUACUUCCCAUCUCUGGUAUCAUUUGUACCUGUGACCAGCAGUUCUAUAGCUCACUUAGUCGGUUCACAAAAAUGUCCCACCAUCAAAAGAAACAAAAUUAAGUGUGAGGGUAAGAGAACAAACAACUCCGAACUGUCUCCCAUGAUGCACUGCUUCCUCACCUGUCUUCUUAUGAUUUUCUAACGUCUAACUGCAGUUGUAUGAUGUACUUAAACUAGUUUCUGAAAUUUCUGUUUUUAGAGCUGAACUGUGACUUGGAUAAUACAACGGCUUCACAUGUACAGACUUUGCCAAAAGCUUUUGGAAAUAUCUUGUCUCUGGUAAAAGACAGUUGUUUGAGUAGUUCUUCGGUAACAAAGUUACCGAAGAAUUACAAAGUAACAAAGCAGUUGACUGGUGAAAGACAUUUGCAAAGUUGGAGAUAGUGGUGACAAGGGACAAGAAUCCAUCCAGAGGACCAGUCCGUCUGACCAAUCAGAACAGUCUGCUUGACACCACUUGGGAGACUGUAAUUGGUCAUGACAAGAACUACACUGGGUUUGGAUCUGUAUUUCUGUUAAGUUAUGAAAGUCUGGAUUUCAUAACCAACAUCUCAACGGUUACCACAGUAUCAGUUACCAACAGCAACACAACCAGAUUGCCUCAGGCUGUUAACAUCACAUUCCGACACCUUCAGUCUGAUGUUGUUGAACCCACAUGUGUGUAUUGGUCAACGGAUGGCACAGGAAAUUGGUCGACGCAAGGCUGCACGUCCCUGUUCUCAAACUCCACCCACACAGUGUGUUCCUGCAACCACCUCAGCAGUUUUGCUCUCAUUCAAAGAUUAAGCUCAGAAGAAAGUGACAAGCCGUCAUUUGUGUGGUUGGUGGCACUAUGUGUGGGUUUUAUCUGUGUUGGUUUCUCUCUGUUUGCAUCCCUGUUGUGUCGCUUUGUCAGCCGUAAACAAGGACGAGGGAACCGUUCACAGAAUGUUCAACUCUCAAGAGUGUCGAACUGAAGAACAGAAAUAUGUUUAUUUUUUCUAUUUAGAAAUCCAUCCUCUGAUGCAACAGCACCACUGAGGCAACUCACAGGUUCAUAGAAUUGUCCUUAAAUAUCUGUUUUUUGUAAAUGAAGGUGAAGACUUUGUAUUUAGUAGCUCUGUUAUUAAUUUUGUAUAUGUAAUAAUUAUAUUAUAAUAAUAAUUAUAGACCCCCCCCCCACACACACACACACAUAGG